ACGAACGCUGGCGGCGUGCUUAACCCAUGCAAGUCGAACGGUGAAGCGCCUUCCUUUUUGGUGGGUGUGGAUGAGUGGCGAACGGGUGAGUAACACGUGAGUAACCUGCCCCCUUCUUCUGGAUAACCGCAUGAAAGUGUGGCUAAUACGGGAUAUUCUGGGUCUGUCGCAUGAUGGGUCUGGGAAAGAUAUUGUUUCGGUGGGGGAUGGGCUCGCGGACUAUCAGCUUGUUGGUGGGGUGAUGGCCUACCAAGGCGGUGACGGGUAGCCGGCCUGAGAGGGUGGACGGUCACACUGGGACUGAGACACGGCCCAGACUCCUACGGGAGGCAGCAGUGGGGAAUAGUGCACAAUGGGCGCAAGCCUGAUGCAGCGACGCCGCGGGAGGGAUGGAGGCCUUCGGGUUGUGAACCUCUUUCGCCAGUGAAGCAGGCCUGCCUCGUUUGUGGGUGGGUUGACGGUAGCUGGAUAAGAAGCGCCGGCUAACUACGUG
This 493-nucleotide ribosomal RNA is filed under the name uncultured bacterium. RNAcentral's name for it is "partial 16S ribosomal RNA". It matches the Rfam family "Bacterial small subunit ribosomal RNA", at positions 29 to 507 of the family's 1533-position model. The record is from RNAcentral.